GAGUUUGAUCCUGGCUCAGGAUGAACGCUAGCGGCAGGCCUAAUACAUGCAAGUCGGACGGGAUCCAUCGGCGAGCUUGCUCAAAGAUGGUGAGAGUGGCGCACGGGUGCGUAACGCGUGAGCAACCUACCUCUAUCAGGGGGAUAGCCUCUCGAAAGAGAGAUUAACACCGCAUAACAUCAACAGUUCGCAUGUUCAGUUGAUUAAAUAUUUAUAGGAUAGAGAUGGGCUCGCGUGACAUUAGCUAGUUGGUAGGGUAACGGCUUACCAAGGCGACGAUGUCUAGGGGCUCUGAGAGGAGAAUCCCCCACACUGGUACUGAGACACGGACCAGACUCCUACGGGAGGCAGCAGUAAGGAAUAUUGGUCAAUGGGCGGAAGCCUGAACCAGCCAUGCCGCGUGCAGGAUGACUGCCCUAUGGGUUGUAAACUGCUUUUGUCCAGGAAUAAACCCAGAUACGUGUAUCUGGCUGAAUGUACUGGAAGAAUAAGGAUCGGCUAACUCCGUGCCAGCAGCCGCGGUAAUACGGAGGAUCCGAGCGUUAUCCGGAUUUAUUGGGUUUAAAGGGUGCGUAGGCGGCCAAUUAAGUCAGGGGUGAAAUACGGUGGCUCAACCAUCGCAGUGCCUUUGAUACUGAUUGGCUUGAAUCCAUUUGAAGUGGGCGGAAUAAGACAAGUAGCGGUGAAAUGCAUAGAUAUGUCUUAGAACUCCGAUUGCGAAGGCAGCUCACUAAGCUGGUAUUGACGCUGAUGCACGAAAGCGUGGGGAUCGAACAGGAUUAGAUACCCUGGUAGUCCACGCCCUAAACGAUGAUAACUCGAUGUUGGCGAUAGACAGCCAGCGUCCCAGCGAAAGCGUUAAGUAUCCACUGG
RNAcentral lists this ribosomal RNA (873 nucleotides) under Sphingobacterium mucilaginosum. Its description in RNAcentral is "bacterial SSU rRNA". It matches the Rfam family "Bacterial small subunit ribosomal RNA", at positions 9 to 873 of the family's 1533-position model. Lineage: Bacteria; Pseudomonadati; Bacteroidota; Sphingobacteriia; Sphingobacteriales; Sphingobacteriaceae. The record is from RNAcentral.